Molecule: ribosomal RNA, 253 nt
Filed under: uncultured bacterium
Lineage: Bacteria
Description: partial 16S ribosomal RNA
Rfam family: Bacterial small subunit ribosomal RNA
Source: RNAcentral
UACAGAGGUCUCGAGCGUUGUUCGGAUUCAUUGGGCGUAAAGGGUGCGUAGGUGGCGCUGUAAGUCGGGUGUGAAAUCCUGAGGCUUAACCUCGGAACUGCAUUCGAUACUGCGGCGCUUGAGGACUGGAGAGGAGACUGGAAUUCAUGGUGUAGCAGUGAAAUGCGUAGAUAUCAGGAGGAACACCGAUGGCGAAGGCAGGUCUCUGGGCUGACACUGACGCUCAUGCACGAAAGCGUGGGGAGCAAACAGG